CGGUUGAUCCUGCCGGACCUGACUGCUAUCGGAUUGAUACUAAGCCAUGCGAGUCUUUGCAGUAAUGCAAGGCAUACGGCUCAGUAACACGUAGUCAACUUACCCUAUGGACGAGGAUAAUCUCGGGAAACUGAGCAUAAUACUCGAUAGAUCAUAAUGCCUGGAAUGGUUUAUGGUUAAAAUGAUUCGUCGCCAUAGGAUGGGACUGCGGCCUAUCAGCUUGUUGGUGAGGUAAUGGCCCACCAAGGCGAUUACAGGUACGGGCUCUGAGAGGAGAAGCCCGGAGAUGGGUACUGAGACAAGGACCCAGGCCCUAUGGGGCGCAGCAGGCGAGAAAACUUUGCAAUGUGCGAAAGCACGACAAGGUUAAUCCGAGUGAUUUCUGCUAAAGAAAUCUUUUGCAAGUCAUAAAACCACUAGUGAAUAAGGGGUGGGCAAGUUCUGGUGUCAGCCGCCGCGGUAAAACCAGCACCUCAAGUGGUCAGGAGGAUUAUUGGGCCUAAAGCAUCCGUAGCCGGCUCUGUAAGUUUUCGGUUAAAUCCAUGUGCUCAACACAUGGGCUGCCGAAAAUACUGCAUAGCUAGGGAGUGGGAGAGGUAGACGGUACUCGGUAGGAAGGGGUAAAAUCCUUUGAUCUAUCGAUGACCACCUGUGGCGAAGGCGGUCUACCAGAACACGUUCGACGGUGAGGGAUGAAAGCUGGGGGAGCAAACCGGAUUAGAUACCCGGGUAGUCCCAGCUGUAAACGAUGCAGACUCGAUGAUGCAUUGGCAUAUAGCCAGUGCAGUGUCGCAGGGAAGCCGUUAAGUCUGCCGCCUGGGAAGUACGUACGCAAGUAUGAAACUUAAAGGAAUUGGCGGGGGAGCACCACAAGGGGUGAAGCCUGCGGUUCAAUUGGAUUCAACGCCGGG
This 911-nucleotide ribosomal RNA is filed under the name uncultured marine archaeon. RNAcentral describes it as "bacterial SSU rRNA". It matches the Rfam family "Archaeal small subunit ribosomal RNA", at positions 5 to 922 of the family's 1478-position model. The record is from RNAcentral.